This 361-nucleotide ribosomal RNA is filed under the name uncultured bacterium. RNAcentral's name for it is "partial 16S ribosomal RNA". It matches the Rfam family "Bacterial small subunit ribosomal RNA", at positions 338 to 716 of the family's 1533-position model. The record is from RNAcentral.
CCUACGGGAGGCAGCAGUGGGGGAUAUUGCACAAUGGGGGGAACCCUGAUGCAGCGACGCCGCGUGGGGGAAGAAGGGCCUCGGCGCGUAAAGCCCUGUCAGCAGGGAAGAAAAUGACGGUACCUGAAGAAGAAGCCCCGGCGAACUACGUGCCAGCAGCCGCGGGAAGACGUAGGGGGCAAGCGUUAGCCGGAUUUACUGGGUGUAAAGGGGGCGCAGACGGCGCGGCAAGCCAGGAGGGAACGCCCGGGGCCCAACCCCGGGACUGCUCUUGGAACUGCGUGGCUGGAGUGCAGGAGGGGCAGGCGGACUUCCUGGUGUAGCGGUGAAAUGCGUCGAUAUCAGGAGGAACACCGGUGGC